Molecule: non-coding RNA, 113 nt
Organism: Acanthosepion pharaonis
Lineage: Eukaryota; Metazoa; Mollusca; Cephalopoda; Sepiida; Sepiidae
Source: the annotation of a GenBank genome assembly
UUACGGCCACAUCACGUUCAAAUACCGGUUCCCGUAUAGUCACUGAAGUUAAACAACGUCAAGCCUGGUUAGUAACUAGAUCGGUGACCGCUUGGGAAUACCAGGGACUGUAA